Molecule: ribosomal RNA, 530 nt
Filed under: uncultured bacterium
Lineage: Bacteria
Description: bacterial SSU rRNA
Rfam family: Bacterial small subunit ribosomal RNA
Source: RNAcentral
AAUAGAUACCCAGGUAGUCCACGCCGUAAACGAUGAGUGCUAAGUGUUAGAGGGUUUCCGCCCUUUAGUGCUGAAGUUAACGCAUUAAGCACUCCGCCUGGGGAGUACGGCCGGCAAGGCUGAAACUCAAAGGAAUUGACGGGGGCCCGCACAAGCGGUGGAGCAUGUGGUUUAAUUCGAAGCAACGCGAAGAACCUUACCAGGUCUUGACAUCCUCUGACAACCCUAGAGAUAGGGCUUCGUCCUUCGGGAGCAGAGUGACAGGUGGUGCAUGGUUGUCGUCAGCUCGUGUCGUGAGAUGUUGGGUUAAGUCCCGCAACGAGCGCAACCCUUGAUCUUAGUUGCCAUCAUUCAGUUGGGCACUCUAAGGUGACUGCCGGUGACGAAACCGGAGGAAGGUGGGGAUGACGUCAAAUCAUCAUGCCCCUUAUGACCUGGGCUACACACGUGCUACAAUGGACGGUACAAAGAGCUGCAAGACCGCGAGGUGGAGCUAAUCUCAUAAAACCGUUCUCAGUUCGGAUUGUAGG